CCCUCUUCCUCUUCCUCCUCCUCCUCCUCCUCCGUUCUUCUUCGGUAAUGGUGGUCAUUAUUUCUUUUCUCGACACAACGAUCCGGGCUUCCAUAACGUUUCUCCAAUCCUCAUUUAUAUAGAGUCUCGAGCUGCCUCAGACGCCAUCUCUGCCCUUGCCGUCGUCUCUGACGUCGCCGCCUUCUCUGUAGUGGCCACCGUCUCCGCCGUGGACGCCGUCCCCUACUCCACCUUCGAUUCACUCCGACUUGGCAGAUCCGUCGGUAGGCUCCUCUGAUUCUGGGAUGCUAAGGACAUCAACAAGAAUGGGGAGCUUUUGGGAAUAACCAUUUUGCUCCUCGAUGAGAAGGACCAUGUGAUCCAUGGUUUUAUCCGAGCUAACUGGGCCAGCCAUUACCGGUCCUCUCUGGCGUCUGGUUCAAUCGUGAGACUGGAGCGUUUUGAUGUUGCUAGGGUGUCCCAACUGUCGUCUUCUCCGAGAUCCUUCGUUUGAUGCUGCUUCCUCUUCCGGGGUUCAGUUUUGUUACUCGAUCUAUCAUAUGUAGUUUGACUCUUCCAUAUUCAUUCAUUCUACCAUCAUCCCAAACGCUUCAUAACCUACACAAAAACCACUAAAUAUAUAGUUGAAAUUCGAGAAACAACCUCAUCUCAUUAAUUGUUUUGUUUUUGGUGAUAGUUUUUUUCCUGGUGUGUAGAUGUAGGGAUCACAAGAUUGCGUUGUUGAAGGUAUGUGGUGAUUAAUCGCGGUUUCAUUUGGAUCAGUUUUUUUUUUCUUCAUUUGAAAAGCUGUGGCUUUUUAGUUUUAAUGUUGAUUCAUUUGACCCUGCCUGGCUCUCUGGUUUGUAUUGCUAAUGUGAG
Long non-coding RNA from Raphanus sativus (radish), 858 nucleotides. RefSeq lists it as uncharacterized. Lineage: Eukaryota; Viridiplantae; Streptophyta; Magnoliopsida; Brassicales; Brassicaceae. The record is from RefSeq and is a predicted model, not a curated record. The transcript is spliced from 3 exons.